UACGGAGGGUGCAAGCGGUAAUCGGAAUUACUGGGCGUAAAGCGCGCGUAGGCGGUUUGAUAAGCAGGAUGUGAAAGCCCGGGGCUUAACCUAGGAAUGGCAUUCUGAACUGUCUGACUGGAGGAGGGUAGAGGGUAGUGGAAUUUCCUGUGUAGCGGUGAAAUGCGUAGAUAUAGGAAGGAACACCAGUGGCGAAGGCGGCUAGCUGGACCAACACUGACACUGAGGUGCGAAAGCGUGGGGAGCAAACAGG
Molecule: unclassified non-coding RNA, 253 nt
Filed under: uncultured Alteromonadales bacterium
Lineage: Bacteria; Pseudomonadati; Pseudomonadota; Gammaproteobacteria; Alteromonadales
Description: contains 16S-23S intergenic spacer region
Rfam family: Bacterial small subunit ribosomal RNA
Source: RNAcentral